RNAcentral lists this long non-coding RNA (799 nucleotides) under Manduca sexta (tobacco hornworm). Its description in RNAcentral is "uncharacterized LOC119193407, transcript variant X1". The record is from RNAcentral. Lineage: Eukaryota; Metazoa; Arthropoda; Insecta; Lepidoptera; Sphingidae.
AGUCUAUAAAGAUGUGCUGGAGUCAAACAGUGUCCCAACCUCAUGCGUGUGAUGCAGCUAAAAACUUUCUGUCAAUAUAUUUGUGUUGAUGAUACCAAGGUUUCGUUGGUAUUGUCCCAUGUACAAGUGAAGGAGCAGUGACUACAUUAGAUGAGACUGGUUCUAUGUCCAGAGGACUCAAUUCGAGUUGUUUGUGAAGAAUGCUAUUGUUUAAGGAUACUAUUUUCAAAUAAAAUCUUUGGGCCAACUGUAAUCUACGCAAAACCAGAGGAGGAGAGACACAGUAUGAUGAUGGUUGCACAUUUAUCUCAAGAAAAGUUGGAAGGUGGUAACUACCCAUUGGGUCAUCAUGAACAUACCAAUUGCAAAGAUGAGCAAUAGAAGAACUAGUAAGAGCCAAAUCUAAUGCAGCAGCCUGUCUACCAGGAUAAGGGACCGUUGUUGUAGAUCCAUCAUUUAAAAUGCAUAAAUCACAAUCAUCUAUAAGGUUAAACAAGCAUUUACCCCUAUUGUUGUCAUAAUUAGAUCCAAAAGCCAUGUGAUGAGCAUUAAAAUCACCCAUUAUAACACAAGGCCUUGGUAAGGAAUUUAUAAGUCUCUUCAAUUUUAAAUCAUCAAAUUGAUUAGUGGGUGGACAAUAAAUACAAAGUAAAUAUAUACAGCUUGUGCCAGUUUUAAUGAAAUACAUAUAUUUUGUAUGGACUCAUGAUACAAAGUGUCUAUUAUACUGUACUGUAAACCAUGUUUGAUUAGUAUACCGACUCCAUGAUGAGGGUUUUUGGAUACUUUAUAAUGAAAA